UACUGGGAACUGAACCCCGGAGUUUAUGC
This 29-nucleotide non-coding RNA is filed under the name Mus musculus (house mouse). The record is from RNAcentral. Lineage: Eukaryota; Metazoa; Chordata; Mammalia; Rodentia; Muridae.